UUUACUGUCUUUCGAUCGACAUUUCUCUGCACACUACUGAGUUAUCUGAGUCGUAUCUUCAGACUUUAGUUUAACUUCAUUAGUCUUUAGCUUUUCUAUCUUAUUUCCCAUACUAUCCACUUUCAUUGAAAGCGUAGUUAGGGUUUUGAGUAUCUUUUCUAGAGUAUCGUCUUCUGUAAUAUCAAUUUGGGUAGCUUUUUCCUGAUAUGUAAUCUGCAGUAACAUUCAUGUUAGUCUUGAUUACUUCAAUUGUAAAUGUAAAA
Molecule: long non-coding RNA, 263 nt
Filed under: Capsicum annuum
Lineage: Eukaryota; Viridiplantae; Streptophyta; Magnoliopsida; Solanales; Solanaceae
Description: long non-coding RNA (CANN_LNC002034)
Source: RNAcentral